AGGGCGCCACUCGCUUUGAAGUGCAGACGAGGAGGCGCGGGCGCGAGCGUGUGUGUCUGUGGGGCUGCUGUGGGACUGUCUGUGCUAGGAGAGCGGCGGAAAACCCGGCGUGGAGCGCCUGCAGUCCGCCGUCCGGGGUCGCGCCCGCCGCGGGGCUCAGGAGGGACCGGCACGCAGGCGCGCACGGCCGCGCACCUGCCUCGCUAGAACCCCGCGCGCCCCGCCGAGCCACUGCCCUCCAGGUUGCUCAGACCGCUGGAGCCUCUGCGUCUCCACGACCGGCUGCUUCCUGCGAAGUUUCACAAACAAGAUUUGAUUGAAAAUGGCCCAUGGAGUACCACCUGGGAACAUAUCCUCGAGAAAGACAGUUGAGGCUUAUUGCCUAAACCACAGGCUACUGAAAACUUGGCCAAAGGCGACUACUCUAGACUGGUGACUUCAAAAGUGCUGAUGAAUACAGUGAACCAUGAAAGAUGCAUUAUUUGUUUUGAACAUUUUACUAUGAUUGAUGACCCAGAUUUGGCAAGUUAGUUCACUCCCAGUGGAGAUGAAAGUUUCACUGCCUUCUUUCUUUCAACAUUCUUGUUGAGACAGAUUUCACUUUUAUUGGCCAAUGUACUAACAAAUCACUUGCAUUUGCAGCAUAAUGAAUUCAUUAGCAACACUGUGGAUCAAUGCUAUACAUAAUAUUCCUGAGUCAACAUUAACUCUUAAUUAAACUUCCUU
Molecule: non-coding RNA, 726 nt
Filed under: Pan troglodytes (chimpanzee)
Lineage: Eukaryota; Metazoa; Chordata; Mammalia; Primates; Hominidae
Source: RNAcentral